GACGAACGCUGGCGGCGUGCUUAACACAUGCAAGUCGAACGGUGAAGCCCUUCGGGGUGGAUCAGUGGCGAACGGGUGAGUAACACGUGAGCAACCUGCCCCUGGCUCUGGGACAACCACUGGAAACGGUGGCUAAUACCGGAUACGACCCGCCUCGGCAUCGAGUGUGGGUGGAAAGUUUUUCGGCUGGGGAUGGGCUCGCGGCCUAUCAGCUUGUUGGUGAGGUGAAGGCUCACCAAGGCGACGACGGGUAGCCGGCCUGAGAGGGCGACCGGCCACACGGGGACUGAGACAGGGCCCAGACUCCGACGGGGGGGAGGGGUGGGGAAUUUGGCAAAAGGGGCGAAAGCCGGAGGCAGGGACGCCGGGGGGGGGAGGAGGGCUUUGGGGUUGAAAACCCUUUUCAGCCCCGAAGAAGGGAAAGGGAGGGUGGGGGCAAAAGAAGCACCGGCUAACUACGG
Molecule: ribosomal RNA, 461 nt
Filed under: uncultured bacterium
Lineage: Bacteria
Description: partial 16S ribosomal RNA
Rfam family: Bacterial small subunit ribosomal RNA
Source: RNAcentral